This 1474-nucleotide long non-coding RNA is filed under the name Cervus hanglu yarkandensis (Yarkand deer). RNAcentral's name for it is "lncRNA (ENSCHYG00000011796.1)". The record is from RNAcentral. Lineage: Eukaryota; Metazoa; Chordata; Mammalia; Artiodactyla; Cervidae.
AUGUGGAGCCAAGACCACCACAUGGACAACAUGGGAUCACACAGCCAGAUGACACCCAGCACUCGUCUCGGGCACAGUCUGGACUCGGCCACCUCUGUGAUCUCACACCUGCAGGCACCCACACCUGGACAGCCUUCUCUUCUCACCACUGUCCGUCCCUGUCUACCUGCCUCCCAAGAUCUGGUCCAGAUCCCACCUCCUCGGCAGACACCACGGUCCCAGAGUAAGUCAUUCACUCCCGUGGUCCAAAUCCCCCUUCAGUGUAGCUUUAUAUCCCUCACUGUCAUUUCCACCAGAAUUCUUUUCUAAUGGAUGGCUGCAUCCUCAUCAGAACCUAUGGUGCUUAAAUAAAAUAUCUGUGGGUUUUCACUUCAUUUGGAUCUCAGUACUUCCUCAUUGUGUGUGUGUGUGUGUGCUCAGUUGGGUCCAACUCUUUGGGGACCCCCUGGACUGUAGCUCAGCAGGCUCCUCUGUCCAUGGAAUUUUCCAGGCAAGAACCCUGGAUUGGGUUGCCGUUUCCUUCUCCAGGGUUUCUUCCCAACCCAGGGAUCAAAUCCACGUCUCCUGCAUAGGUAGGUGGAUUCUUUACCACUGUGCCACCUGGAAAGCCCACUUCCUCAUUGUGCAUGGUAUAUUUUGGUGCUCUUUAUAAUGUACGAUGACUGUCAGGUCUGCCCUUCUAAGUACUAAAAACCUUCCAUCAGUCUGUCCCGGUUAUACACCUUAAUUAAGGAGGGGUUAAAACUUCAUGGUCCCAGUGUCUGCAUCCCACACGUGAGCGCGCACUCACACAUAUACGUGUGCCUGGGUGGGAACAGACCUAGAGCAGAGGCCGGGGGAACUUCUCUGGGAACAGUCUGAAUGUGCAGCAUUUGACCCAGACGUGGUGUGGUUCUAGGAGAUGCUGUUCCUCAACCUUGUCUCCUGAAUGUCUCAGUACUCAGCCCCAGAACCUGUGACUUCCAAACCACAGGGCUUGUUUGAAUUAUCUACUUAGUCCUUUAUUAAGAACUUCAAUGUGUAAAUUUGUGAGAUUCCAAGACAGGCAGCUCAGAGGAUAGUGGAUUUUGCUGGUUCCAAAUAACAAGAAAUUCCUCUGCUUUUUUUUUUUUUAAGGCAGUGGCCACAGCUGUGGGCUGGCUGUUGCUUCUUUAUCUUUUUAAAAAAAAUAAUUAUUUAUUUAUCUGCACUAGCUCUUCGUUGCUGCACAUGGGCUUUCUCCAGCUAUGGUGCACGGGCUUCUCGCCGCAGUGGCUUCUCUUGUUGCGGAGCAUGGGCUCUAGGGCACACAGGCCUCAGUAGUUGUGCCUUCCCAGCUCUGGAGUGUGGGCUCAGUAGUUGUGGCACACAGGCUUAGUUGCCUGGCAGCAUGAGGAGUCUUCCUGGACCAAGGAUUGAACCCCUGCUCCCUGCAUUGGCAGGUGAAUACUUAACCCCUGGACCACCAGGGAAGUCCAAUUCCUAUGCUUUAAAA